UGCACCAGACACCUGCGGCGAAGAAGGUGGAGUUCGCCGUGAUAGCCUUGUCAGGGUCAUCGAUGUCUUGGUAUCAAUUGCUGAUCAGGAGAAUACCUAAUCCCGAUUGGGUAACUUUUCGUCAGGAGUUGCUGAUUCGAUAUGGCGAUGAGUCCGCAAUUAACGGCUAUGAAGCCUUGCUUGCAGUCAAGCAAACAGGUUCUCUCGAGGAAUAUAUCGCCGCUUUUGAGAAUAGGGUUUCACAAAUUCCUGAUUUCUCGGAUGCGCAUUACUUGGGAUUUUUCUUGGGUGGGUUGAAGAAGCAUCUGCGAGCCCAGAUUCAAGAUAGUGUAAUUUUCAGCUAUUCAGCCGCUUUACAGGCUGCUCGAAAGAUAGACCAUGCAACAUCGCCAGUUACCACAGCGAGUUACUCUACCAGGCCAGUGUUCAUUCGACAUUCUUCCCCGGUCAGACCUCACAGCACCCCACCAGCGACGAACACAUCAUCGUCGGUUGUCUCCCACACGUCGUCCGCUUCCCCGGCUGCAUCCCACACUUCGUCUGCCCUCCCCGCAAUUUUUGCAACAUCUCCACUGAGGAGUACAUGAAACAUCGUGCAGCUGGCACUUGUUUUCGCUGCGGCCUGAAAUAUGGGCCAUUGCAUCGCUGCCCACCUAAAACACUACAGGUUUUAAUCGGUGACAUGGAAGAUGACCCGGGCAGGGACCUAGAGAAUUCUGAGGAUACUGGGCUGAAGGAGGAAGCCCCAUGGGGCCAUGUGGAUCAGCAACCGCCUUGAGGACAAGGCUGUUUCGACAGGCGGGCAAUUGAUAGCGUUAGAUCAGCUGCAGUCUGCAGAUUUAGGAUUAUCUUUAUUAUAUUAGUUUUUGUUAGUUCAUAGUUAUCUUUUAUUUUUCGCAGUAGUUCAAUUAUUUAGGGUUAAGUUUUUAGGUCAGACUCAUGGGCUCCAAGUUAUUUAAUUGGGCCUCAAGUCAUUAGGUCUAUAUAUAGUUCUUUACGAUUUAGGGUUAAUUAUCGGGGGAUCAUUGUUUAGGGACAGCAAUAGCUGUAGGGCAGAGAUAUUUUUCUCUGAGGGCCUCGCAGGAGGAGUUUUAUAUAUCGUAUUUUUAUUUUCUUUCUUAUUUCUUCAUCUUCAUACGCCUUUACUCUAUCAUAAAAAACGAUCAAAUCUACACCAAACGCAUAAAAAACUAACUACUAUAAUAUCAAUUCUUGAUGUUUAUAUAUAUAAUUUUAGAUAUUGUGCAUUUUAAAAUUACCUGAUAGCAUAUAUAUAUUUGUGAUAAUAAAAUUUGUCAGUGUUAUCUACUCCCUCCGUCCACGAAAUGAGUACCCAUUUGUGGACGGCAUGGGUUUUAAGAAAUGUAUGGAGUGUAGUGUGAAUAGUUUAAGGGUCCCACUUUUUUAGUGUAUUAAUUAAAGAGAUGUGUGGGUUACACUUGCCAAAAAGGGAAAUGUGUACUCAUUUCAUGGACGGACGAAAAAGGAAAUAUGAGUACUCAUUUCGUGGACGGAUGGAGUAUUAUUUAUGACGGAAGAUAUUAUUAUAGUAUAGAGAUGGUUGGAGUGGCAAAAAAAGAUUGUCACAAACAUAUAGUGACGACAAAUAUUGACAACAAAAAAACGUGUCACUAAUAUAUAGUUUUUGUCUCGGACGAAAAUAUUGUCCCUAUAUAUAUACAUGUUUAGUGACAACACUAUAAUCGUCACUGAUAUAUAGUAACAGUAAAUACUGACAAUAAUAUAUUUUAUCACUGAUUUAUUUUAUUGUGAUGUGACAAAUAAUCGUCACUAUACAUAUAUAGUUAUAGUGGGCAGAGAUAUUUUUCUCUGAGGGCCUCGCAGGAGGAGUUUUAUAUAUCGUAUUUUUUAUUUUCUUUCUUAUUUCUUCAUCUUCAUACGCCUUUACUCUAUCAAUUUGGUCCGACCUGCCGGAUCGAAAGAUGACAAUGACGAGAGACCAACAACGCAUGGAGCAGAUAGAGAAGGCACUGGAGGAACUUCGCGCCGCCCAGUCUGCAGCGGCGGUGAAGCAAGCAGCAUCAGAUUCUAAACUUGACGCCAUUCUCGCCCAGUUGAAAUCCUCUGAUCACUUUGAUCGGGGCCCCGAUCCCUCGCUGUCGGAGUCAGAAAGUUCCCCCACUCCGAUGUUGCAGAAGAUGGAGAUGCCCAGUUUCGACGGAUCUGAUGCUCGUGCAUGGCUUGCACGUGCAGAACAGUAUUUCUUGGUGCACCAGACACCUGCGGCGAAGAAGGUGGAGUUCGCCGUGAUAGCCUUGUCAGGGUCAUCGAUGUCUUGGUAUCAAUUGCUGAUCAGGAGAAUACCUAAUCCCGAUUGGGUAACUUUUCGUCAGGAGUUGCUGAUUCGAUAUGGCGAUGAGUCCGCAAUUAACGGCUAUGAAGCCUUGCUUGCAGUCAAGCAAACAGGUUCUCUCGAGGAAUAUAUCGCCGCUUUUGAGAAUAGGGUUUCACAAAUUCCUGAUUUCUCGGAUGCGCAUUACUUGGGAUUUUUCUUGGGUGGGUUGAAGAAGCAUCUGCGAGCCCAGAUUCAAGAUAGUGUAAUUUUCAGCUAUUCAGCCGCUUUACAGGCUGCUCGAAAGAUAGACCAUGCAACAUCGCCAGCCCCACCAGCGACGAACACAUCGUCGGUUGUCUCCCACACGUCGUCCGCUUCCCCGGCUGCCUCCCUCACUUCAUCUGCCCCUCCCCGCAAUUUUCGCAACAUCUCCAAUGAGGAGUACAUGAAACACCGUGCAGCUGGCACUUGUUUUCGCUGCG
Molecule: long non-coding RNA, 2778 nt
Filed under: Salvia miltiorrhiza (redroot sage)
Lineage: Eukaryota; Viridiplantae; Streptophyta; Magnoliopsida; Lamiales; Lamiaceae
Description: long non-coding RNA (SMIL_LNC002749)
Source: RNAcentral